GCCGGUGUAGCUCAGUGGGUAGAGCAUCGGCCUGCAGGCGGAAGGGUCCAGGGUUCGAUUCCGGUCAAGGGCA
RNAcentral lists this transfer RNA (73 nucleotides) under Myotis brandtii (Brandt's bat). It matches the Rfam family "tRNA". Rfam says of the family: Transfer RNA (tRNA) molecules are approximately 80 nucleotides in length. Lineage: Eukaryota; Metazoa; Chordata; Mammalia; Chiroptera; Vespertilionidae. The record is from Rfam by way of RNAcentral.